AAAUUUCAAAGUCCUGCUGGCUACACAGUUAGGGCGUUUGGAUUUGUGGGGGUUGCUGGACAGUUUAAAUAUCAGCUCCUCUGAAAUUUAUUAGCGAAACUUUUGUUACUGGCUAUAUUCUAUGGGUAUGAUAAUUAUCUAUACCACUUGGAUAUCCAGGCUUUCUUUAUUGAAAGAGUUUUGCUUCCAAAUUGUCUUGAUUGAUUCAAGACAACUUAUCGAACA
This 225-nucleotide unclassified non-coding RNA is filed under the name uncultured Agaricomycetes. RNAcentral describes it as "sequence contains ITS2". The record is from RNAcentral. Lineage: Eukaryota; Fungi; Basidiomycota; Agaricomycetes.